GGGUUGUGAGGUUAAGCGACUAAGCGUACACGGUGGAUGCCCUGGCAGUCAGAGGCGAUGAAGGGCGUGCUAAUCUGCGAUAAGCGCCGGUAAGGUGAUAUGAACCGUUAUAACCGGCGAUACCCGAAUGGGGAAACCCAGUGUGACUCGUCACACUAUCAUUAACUGAAUCCAUAGGUUAAUGAGGCGAACCGGGGGAACUGAAACAUCUAAGUACCCCGAGGAAAAGAAAUCAACCGAGAUUCCCCCAGUAGCGGCGAGCGAACGGGGAGGAGCCCAGAGCCUGAAUCAGCAUGUGUGUUAGUGGAAGCGUCUGGAAAGGCGCGCGAUACAGGGUGACAGCCCCGUACACAAAAGCGCAUAUGCUGUGAGCUCGAUGAGUAGGGCGGGACACGUGGUAUCCUGUCUGAAUAUGGGGGGACCAUCCUCCAAGGCUAAAUACUCCUGACUGACCGAUAGUGAACCAGUACCGUGAGGGAAAGGCGAAAAGAACCCCGGCGAGGGGAGUGAAAAAGAACCUGAAACCGUGUACGUACAAGCAGUGGGAGCACCCUUUGGGGUGUGACUGCGUACCUUUUGUAUAAUGGGUCAGCGACUUAUAUUCUGUAGCAAGGUUAACCGAAUAGGGGAGCCGUAGGGAAACCGAGUCUUAAUUGGGCGUUAAGUUGCAGGGUAUAGACCCGAAACCCGGUGAUCUAGCCAUGGGCAG
RNAcentral lists this ribosomal RNA (709 nucleotides) under Salmonella enterica. Its description in RNAcentral is "partial 23S ribosomal RNA". It matches the Rfam family "Bacterial large subunit ribosomal RNA", at positions 1 to 743 of the family's 2925-position model. The record is from RNAcentral. Lineage: Bacteria; Pseudomonadati; Pseudomonadota; Gammaproteobacteria; Enterobacterales; Enterobacteriaceae.